CCUACGGGAGGCAGCAGUGAGGAAUAUUGGUCAAUGGGCGCGAGCCUGAACCAGCCAAGUCGCGUGAGGGAAGAAGGUCCUAUGGAUUGUAAACCUCGUUUGUCGGGGAGCAAGAGACGCCACGCGUGGCGUUCCGAGAGUACCCGAAAAAAAAGCGUCGGCUAACGCCGUGCCAGCAGCCGCGGUAAUACGGAGGAUGCGGGCGUUAUCCGGAUUUAUUGGGUUUAAAGGUAGCGCAGGCGGAAGAUCAAGUCACAGGUAAAAUUGAGAGGCUCAACCUCUUCGAGCCGUUGAAACUGGUUGUCUUGAGUGCGCGAGAAGUAGGCGGAAUGCGGGGUGUAGCGGUGAAAUGCAUAGAUAUCACGCAGAACUCCGAUUGCGAAGGCAGCAUACCGGCGCUCAACUGACGCUCAUGCACGAAAGUGUGGGUAUCGAACAGGAUUAGAUACCCUUGUAGUC
This 459-nucleotide ribosomal RNA is filed under the name uncultured bacterium. RNAcentral's name for it is "partial 16S ribosomal RNA". It matches the Rfam family "Bacterial small subunit ribosomal RNA", at positions 338 to 795 of the family's 1533-position model. The record is from RNAcentral.